This 309-nucleotide ribosomal RNA is filed under the name Triticum aestivum (bread wheat). RNAcentral's name for it is "partial small subunit ribosomal RNA". The record is from RNAcentral. Lineage: Eukaryota; Viridiplantae; Streptophyta; Magnoliopsida; Poales; Poaceae.
AUGAACCGGUAUGGUAUGCCAUUCAUACCCUUUGUUGGUCUUAACAAUCACCGGAAGACCACUGUUUUUGCUUGUGCCAUAGUUUCGGACGAGACCGGAGAGACAUAUGUGUGGCUGCUGGAGACUUUUUUGAGGUCCAUGUGUCAAAAGAUGCCGAAGAGUGUUAUCACGGACGCCGACGCUGCGAUGAUCAAGGCAAUUCGCCAGGUCUUGCCAGACGUGUGGCACCGUAUAUGUACGUGGCAUAUAGAAAAAAAUAUGAAGAUUCACCUCAGUCACAAGUCCUUGAAGGAGUUCCGAACUCUUCUG